GAGGUUUCCGGCCCGGGGCCCGACUGCGGGUGGCAUUUCUGGCUAAGCCGUUAGGCGCGAAUUGUCUGUGUCCAGAAAACACAGGGCACGUUACCCGGUAUCGUGGUCUACACCUCGCCCACAAAUCCAUCCCAGGCUGUAUCCUCAUGGAAGCUUUUUCCAGAUGUGCUUGAGGGUUAAGAUCGCAAUGUGCAAGAAGAAAAAGUGCACAUUGGAAAACCUUCUCUUCGGAGAUAUCUAUAUCUAUAUUUAUAUAUAUUUACAGAUAUGGAGAUAUAUACACACACGUAUCUGAAAACAUUCUGACGUUUUAAAAACGGAGCACCAGAGGAGGGGGACUUCAUCUGACUUGUUCAGCACUGUCUCCCAGGCCCUGGCACAGAGGGAGCACUCGAUACACACCGAUGGGCUGAAGGUGUGAAUGGAUCUGGGGACUAGAGUGAUGGUUAUUUGGCAGACAGCAUGCCCCGCCUGGGCAGUAGCCGUGAAGACUCUUCUUUUCCUCUCCUCGCCUGCACUCUUUAGGAUUGAACAGCAUUGGUUCAAUGCAUAUUCUGGGAGCACAGAGAAAAAAGGGAUCAAGUUCCACCAUUAUGCAAAAGGGACUCCUGUAAGCCAGGUGAAGAAGGGGCAAGGCCCUUCUUGGUCAGCAGGGAUAAGGCAGUUGUGUAUGGGAGAGCAUGCGAGGAGGGCGAGGGCUGGGGGAGAUGGAGCAGGAACAUUUGGUUGGGGCUCUGAGGCACUCUUCUGCUUGGGGAGUGUGUGGGCAAAGGCAGGGGCUGUGCAGGAAGGAUUUAGCUAAAGCCAUAAAGCUGGAAGAGGGUUUGGGGAACGGCUUUGAAGUUACAUUUGUUUUGCAAGUUCUUUGUUUUUAUUAAUGUUUGCAUGUUAUUUGGGUAGCUGUAGGGAGUAGGUUUUCGGGGAGUUAAAGUGCACUCUCUCACCCCUCCUUCAGUCCUACUACUGCCCCUAGAUACACAAUCACCUCAAGUGACUUUCACGUCACCAGGAAUGGGCAAAGUCUAGAUUUUGGAACAGAAAAUAUUUUAGGUCCCCGUCCCUCUCUGUAACCAAUAACCAAUGCCAUAUAAAUGGAAAAGUAUAAAGAAGAGGAACCAACGGGGAUCUGCUGUAUUGUGCAAGAAAAUAUACAUUGGCCGCCAUUCUGGACCCUGAGCCGUUGUCAAAACACAGCUUAAUCCCCAUUCCCUGGGCCCGAGACCCUGCAGCCCCCACGCUGCCCGGCUUCCGGUCUUACCUGGGGCAACCUGACCAACAAGAACGCGGAAGGCCAGGAGCCAAAAACAGAGACUCCUGAUGGGUAACAGAAGGAAAAGGAAGGAGUCUUCCUUUAGGUGAAUGAGGCACUGUCGGAGUCACUCUGAGUUCUGAGUCACCGUUCAGUCUGGGCUGGUUGGAAGAAAUUGGGUUGAAUCUCAGCAUUCAGGUUUGACAUGUUCUGGGCAAGGACUGCUCUAAAUGGAAACUUUUCCCUUUCUGUUCCUUAAGGAUGUGAAGAACCCAGCAGCCUUUCCUGAGGCUGUGUCUUCUGUGCCUUGGAGGCUGCCAUUUCUCCAAGUAGUCCUGGAGAUUCUCAAAUGCUAAAGUUAACCAACACAGUGCCCUAAGACCAGAAAGGAGAAAAAAUGGAAGUUCUGGGUCCUGCCAAAGGACUAUUUCACUGAGCAGACUGCUGAGACCUCUGAAUUAUGUGGACACUUGAGAAUCAGUCAUGUGUUGGGGCCGGCGUCGUGGCUCAUGCCUGUAAUCCCAGCACUUUGGCAUUUUGGGAGGCCAAGGCGGGUGGAUCACCUGUGGUCAGGAGUUCGAGACCAGCCUGGUCAACAUGGUGAAACCCUGUCUUUACUAAAAACAAAAACAAACCCCAAAAAUUAGCCAGGUAUGGUGGCCGGCACCUGUAAUCCGAGCUAGUCGGGAGGCUGAGGCAGGAGAACUGCUUGGGCUUGGGAGGCAGAGGUUGCAGUGAGCCGAGAUUGUGCCACUGCACUGAAGGAACAAGGUCCAGUGAUGUCCCCAGAGCAUGUAGCUGGUCAAAGACCAACCCCGGACCAGAAUGGAUGCCUCCUGAUCUCACUUCAGUUCUCAUUCCACUUCACCACACUGCUGGUUGACUGUGGUGUCACGGUGCAUAACCAGAACUAAUUUCUGGCAUUACCUUCCAGGAUCUAGUACAUUAUGGGACACAAAAGGAAUUGCAGCAAAGUUAGUGAGAGGGUACUUUGAUUACAUUCUGUGUUCCACAUCUAAUCUACUGUGUGAUCUUUUGCAAACCACUCAACCUCUCUAGGCAGCAGCUUGGAAGGAGCUGGAUUUCUGGUCCUGGAUGGAAGGAGCUGGAUUUCUGACCCUGGAUGGAAGGCGCUGGAUUUCUGACCCUGGAUGGAAGGCGCUGGAUUUCUGGCCCCAGGACAUCCCAGUGCUAAGGAGAGUGACCUCAGACACCAGAGACACAGCAAGUGCAGCAGAGCUGACGGCUCUGGGAACACUGGUCUUCAAAGUCUUCCCCGUUGUUGGUUUUGUUGUCUUUAUUUACAAAUAAAGUAAAUAUUUCUUAUUUAU
Molecule: long non-coding RNA, 2580 nt
Filed under: Homo sapiens (human)
Lineage: Eukaryota; Metazoa; Chordata; Mammalia; Primates; Hominidae
Description: long non-coding RNA NONHSAT215358.1
Source: RNAcentral